GAUAAAAAUAUUUUAUUGUUAGUUUAAAUUUAAUUUUAUAUUAAAAAAAGAAAUUAUUAUUUAAUUAAUUUUUAAGAAAAAAUUAUUGUUAAUUAUAGAUUAUAGUAUUGUGAAAGAAAAUAAUUAUUAAUAAGAAAGAAAAAUUUAAAUUUUGUACCUUGUGCAUCAGGGUUGAUUAAAAAAUAAUUAAAUAUUUAAUAUUCUCGAAUUUAAAAGAGCUAAUUAAUUAUAAAUUUUAUUGUAAAAUAAAUAUUUAAAAUAUUUAAUUAGAAAUGAAACGUUAUUCGUUUUUAAAUUUAUCUAGUUUUUAAAUAAAUAAAUUUAAUUUAAUUAUUUUAAGUUAAAAUAUUAAUUUUUUAAUAUUUUAUUUAAAAUAAUAAAUUUUUUUAGGGAUUAGCUUGAAAAAAAAUUAUUAUAAUAAUUUAAAAAUAAAAUAAAUUAUAGGAUUAUAAUUUUCUAUAAAUAAUAAAAUGUUAUAAUUAAUUAUUUUUUUAAUAUUAUUUUUAUUUUAUUUAAAUUUUUUAUUUAAAUAUAAAUUUAAAUUAUAAAUGUUUAGGAAUAAUGAUUAAAUUAGUAUAAAUUAAUGUAUUUUUAUAUUUUAAAUUUAAGGUUAAUUUAAGGAACUCGGCAAAUAAAUUUUUCACCUGUUUAUUAAAAACAUGUCCUUUUGAUUAUAAUUUAAGGUCUAAUCUGCCCACUGAGUUUUUAAAUGGCCGCGGUAUUUUGACCGUGCAAAGGUAGCAUAAUAAUUAGUUUCUUAAUUAGAAGCUGGAAUGAAAGAUUGAAUGAGAAAAUAACUGUCUCAAAUUAAAUUUUUUAGAAUUUUAUUUUUAAGUUAAAAAGCUUAAAUAUUUUUAAAAGACGAGAAGACCCUAUAGAGUUUUAUUUUAAUUAGUUUUAAAAAAAUAUAAAUUUUAAUAUUUUUUAUAAUUAAUUAAAAUUUUGUUGGGGAGAUAGAAAAAUUAAAUUAACUUUUUUUAUAUU
Molecule: ribosomal RNA, 984 nt
Filed under: Clerus gilberti
Lineage: Eukaryota; Metazoa; Arthropoda; Insecta; Coleoptera; Cleridae
Description: partial 16S ribosomal RNA
Source: RNAcentral